GUGAAAAGUGCUUCGGCAGUAUUAAAAGAGUGAAUAAGUUCAUGUACAUGCUAAAAGUGCCCUACACGCUUGUACCUUGGGAAACGUUCGUCUUUUUACAAAUAAGAAAUAGAAAGGAGAAGCCUUGAGAGAGGAUAAGGCUUCAAAAGAUCUUCAUUAAAAGCAAGAAAAGCAAGCCUUGUGUGGAAGAUCUCAUCUAUUUUGUUCGCUGGCUGUCUAGCUUCACAUGGUCACGUGUCGUGAGGGCAGCACAGUAAAAAGACGCCUACUCAGCGGGUUCAAGCAUACAGAGCUACUUUAAGCAACAUGAGUCUACGCUCAGGAAGAAAUUAUCUAAAAGACUACGUUGCUGAAGAGCUAGACGAAGCAACCGGUGGUGAACAGCAACCAGACAUCGCCACUCAAUCAGCUACAAUGCAGCAACAGUCUCAGCCAUUCGACACCAAGUCGCAGAAAUCCAGAACAUCGACAAGGCGGUCUCAACGGACAUCCUCAUCAACAGCUUCUGCAGCUGCAAGGGCCUACGCCAAAGCUCAAGCAGCACGAGCUCAACUGGCCUUCGCUGAAAAGGAAGCCAAUGCAAUGAAACAGAGAGCUGAACUGGAUGCUCAUCUACAUGUCCUCCAGUGCCAAAAAGCAAUAGCCGCAGCUGAAGCAGAGGCUUCAGCCUAUGAAGAAGCAGAGAUUCAGAGCGGGGAGCUCUAUGGAGAACUUUGCGAGGAAGUUGAGCCCAUCAGUGCAGUGCACCGCACUAUCGAAUAUGUUCAACAACAAUGUGAGUUACUCUACCCAGACACUCAGCACGACCCAGCACAGCUUCCUAAAGGGAAUGACAAUGAAGUAGAUGUACAAGACAGUACACAAAUAACUAAUCCUUUUAUAACCAACACUCAAACAAAAUCACCACCUGUAAACAGAGAAAGGAAACAGGAGCAAACAGUGAACACAUGUGUAGUCGACACGUACUGGUCCAACUCCACAAAGCACACCCCCAACCUUAACAACUGCUUACCUGAAGCAAGUGAAACGCAACAGUUUGCAAAAUACCUAAUUCGCAAAGAACUAGUCAGCACAGGUCUUUUGCAAUUUGAUGACAAACCUGAAAACUAUUGGGCAUGGAAAACCUCAUUCAUCAGCGCAACCAAAGACUUAAAUCUGUCUCCAAGAGAGGAAUUAGACUUGCUAACGAAAUGGUUGGGUCCAACAUCAUCCGAACAGGCUAAGCGGAUUCGUGCUGUGCACACCCUCAAUCCUGCUGCAGGUGC
Oreochromis aureus is the source of this 1265-nucleotide long non-coding RNA. The record is from Ensembl. Lineage: Eukaryota; Metazoa; Chordata; Actinopteri; Cichliformes; Cichlidae.